UACGAAGGGGGCUAGCGUUGCUCGGAAUCCCUGGGCGUAAAGCGCACGUAGGCGGCUUGCUAAGUCAGGGGUGAAAUCCUGGAGCUCAACUCCAGAACUGCCUUUGAUACUGGCGAGCUUCGAGUCCGGGAGAGGUGAGUGGAACUGCGAGUGUAGAGGUGAAAUUCGUAGAUAUUCGCAAGAACACCAGUGGCGAAGGCGGCUCACUGGCCCGGUACUGACGCUGAGUGAGCGAAAGCCAGGGGAGCAAACGGG
This 255-nucleotide ribosomal RNA is filed under the name uncultured bacterium. RNAcentral describes it as "partial 16S ribosomal RNA". It matches the Rfam family "Bacterial small subunit ribosomal RNA", at positions 524 to 776 of the family's 1533-position model. The record is from RNAcentral.